GACGAACGCUGGCGGCGUGCUUAACACAUGCAAGUCGAACGGAAAGGCCCUGCUUUUGUGGGGUGCUCGAGUGGCGAACGGGUGAGUAACACGUGAGUAACCUGCCCUUGACUUUGGGAUAACUUCUGGAAACUGGGGCUAAUACCGGAUAGGAGCUCCUGCUGCAUGGUGGGGGUUGGAAAGUUUCGGCGAUUGGGGAUGGACUCGCGGCUUAUCAGCUUGUUGGUGGGGUAGUGGCUUACCAAGGCUUUGACGGGUAGCCGGCCUGAGAGGGUGACCGGCCACAUUGGGACUGAGAUACGGCCCAGACUCCUACGGGAGGCAGCAGUGGGGAAUAUUGCACAAUGGGCGGAAGCCUGAUGCAGCAACGCCGCGUGCGGGAUGACGGCCUUCGGGUUGUAAACCGCUUUCGCCUGUGACGAAGCGUGAGUGACGGUAAUGGGUAAAGAAGCACCGGCUAACUACGUG
RNAcentral lists this ribosomal RNA (468 nucleotides) under uncultured bacterium. RNAcentral describes it as "partial 16S ribosomal RNA". It matches the Rfam family "Bacterial small subunit ribosomal RNA", at positions 28 to 507 of the family's 1533-position model. The record is from RNAcentral.